UUGGCCCUCAUCUGUCUGAUCUGAAUCAGAACCACGACGAACACAGAGAUGUUGCACAACAGGAUCAGAAGAACAAACGCCACCACCGUCACGUAGAAGAAGACGUCAUCCUGCAGCCAGCAGCUGGAGGGAGGAGGACAGUUUGCUCGACCCCAGCCAAUCAAAAUCCAGUCCUGAGCCCAAUCUUCCAAUCAACGCCAAUGGACCCUAUGGUCUUUACCUUCGGGACAUCGAUGCAACAACAAUUCAACAGGUUGACCUGGGUUUUCAGCCAAGAAACAAAUCAAAAAGACAUUUCUUUGCUGCAGCAAACAUCUUACCUUUGCAGGUCACAAAAACAGCUCAUUAGUCAAAGUUUGCUGACCCUCAGUACCCAUUUAUAUCUCACCUUUGGAGCCAGGAGAGGAGAAACUGAGGACACG
This is a long non-coding RNA of Scophthalmus maximus (turbot), 422 nucleotides long. RefSeq lists it as uncharacterized. NCBI's taxonomy places the organism in Eukaryota, Metazoa, Chordata, Actinopteri, Pleuronectiformes, Scophthalmidae. The transcript is spliced from 3 exons. The record is from RefSeq and is a predicted model, not a curated record.